This 74-nucleotide transfer RNA is filed under the name Candidatus Woesearchaeota archaeon. RNAcentral's name for it is "tRNA-Ile". It matches the Rfam family "tRNA". From Rfam's summary of the family: Transfer RNA (tRNA) molecules are approximately 80 nucleotides in length. Their secondary structure includes four short double-helical elements and three loops (D, anti-codon, and T loops). Lineage: Archaea; Nanobdellati; Candidatus Woesearchaeota. The record is from RNAcentral.
GAGCCCGUGGCUUAGCCUGGUAUAGCACUGCUCUGAUAAGGCAGGGGUCGUGAGUUCAAAUCUCAUCGGGCUCA